Molecule: RNA transcript, 489 nt
Organism: Cercocebus atys (sooty mangabey)
Lineage: Eukaryota; Metazoa; Chordata; Mammalia; Primates; Cercopithecidae
Gene name: NADH dehydrogenase [ubiquinone] iron-sulfur protein 5-like
Exons: 1
Source: RefSeq, a predicted model, not a curated record
CCUGAAGCGGCGGCCAGAGAAGAGACAAGGGUACGAGCAUCGGAUCGCCAUGCCUUUCUUGGACAUCCAGAAAAGGUUCGGCCUUAACAUAGAUCGAUGGUGGACAAUCUAGAGUGCUGAACAGCCCUACAAGAUUGCUACUCGAUGCCAUGCUUUUGAAAAAGAAUGGAUAGAAUGUGCACAUGGAAUUGGUGCUAUCCGGGCAGAGAAAGAGUGCAAGAUAGAAUAUGAUGAUUUUGUAGAGUGUUUGCUUCGGCAGAAAACGAUGAGACGUGCGUGUGCCAUCAGGAGGCAGCGGGAUAAGCUGAUAAAGGAAGGGAAGUACACCCCUCCACCUCACCACAUUGGCAAGGAGGAGCCUCGGCCCUGAGCAGAGCAGCUGGUGAUGUCUGGAGGCUGAUUUUCCCGUUCUCUGUUCUCCACUGGAAAGGUUGUUUACGGAAAACCUCCUUGUCAAAGUGUGUAAAAAUAAAGGAUUGCUCCAUCCUA